Long non-coding RNA from Daucus carota subsp. sativus, 277 nucleotides. RefSeq lists it as uncharacterized. The transcript is spliced from 2 exons. The record is from RefSeq and is a predicted model, not a curated record. Lineage: Eukaryota; Viridiplantae; Streptophyta; Magnoliopsida; Apiales; Apiaceae.
GGUACAAACAGAGGGUACUAGUGAGCUUUUACAGUCUAAAUCAGUGUUGGAAGAGCAAUGGAUUUGUGGGAGAAGAUGGUCUGCCCUGUUCGAAAAGUUCUGUUCGCGGUAGCUGCCCGCGUCAGGUCACGCAAAAACGGUGCAUCUCUUUUGAAGCUUCACAGUGAUAUUCAAACCUGUGGAUACGCGGAUGUUCAGGUCAUGUGGGAAAUGCUUCAAAGAUCAGAAUCAGAAUUCAUGUCGCAACGCUCCAAGCAGAAUCAGAGGUCCUUUUGGA